GCUGGCGGUAGGCUACACAUGCAAGUCGAACGGCAGCACAGUAAGAGCUUGCUCUUAUGGGUGGCGAGUGGCGGACGGGUGAGGAAUACAUCGGAAUCUACUUUUUCGUGGGGGAUAACGUAGGGAAACUUACGCUAAUACCGCAUACGACCUUCGGGUGAAAGCAGGGGACCUUCGGGCCUUGCGCGAUUGAAUGAGCCGAUGUCGGAUUAGCUAGUUGGCGGGGUAAAGGCCCACCAAGGCGACGAUCCGUAGCUGGUCUGAGAGGAUGAUCAGCCACACUGGAACUGAGACACGGUCCAGACUCCUACGGGAGGCAGCAGUGGGGAAUAUUGGACAAUGGGCGCAAGCCUGAUCCAGCCAUACCGCGUGGGUGAAGAAGGCCUUCGGGUUGUAAAGCCCUUUUGUUGGGAAAGAAAAGCAGCAGGCUAAUACCCCGCUGUUCUGACGGUACCCAAAGAAUAAGCACCGGCUAACUUCGUGCCAGCAGCCGCGGUAAU
RNAcentral lists this ribosomal RNA (500 nucleotides) under uncultured bacterium. Its description in RNAcentral is "bacterial SSU rRNA". It matches the Rfam family "Bacterial small subunit ribosomal RNA", at positions 35 to 524 of the family's 1533-position model. The record is from RNAcentral.